UACGUAGGCAGCGAGCGUUGUUCGGAGUUACUGGGCGUAAAGCGUGCGUAGGCGGUGUCUUAAGUUUGUUGUGAAAUCUCCCGGCUUAACCGGGAGGGUGCGGCGAAUACUGAGAUGCUGGAGUGCCGGAGAGGUAAGCGGAAUUCCUGGUGUAGCGGUGAAAUGCGUAGAUAUCAGGAGGAACACCUGCGGUGUAGACGGCUUACUGGACGGUA
RNAcentral lists this ribosomal RNA (215 nucleotides) under uncultured bacterium. Its description in RNAcentral is "partial 16S ribosomal RNA". It matches the Rfam family "Bacterial small subunit ribosomal RNA", at positions 524 to 738 of the family's 1533-position model. The record is from RNAcentral.